RNAcentral lists this long non-coding RNA (870 nucleotides) under Callithrix jacchus (white-tufted-ear marmoset). RNAcentral describes it as "lncRNA (ENSCJAG00000078059.1)". Lineage: Eukaryota; Metazoa; Chordata; Mammalia; Primates; Cebidae. The record is from RNAcentral.
AUCAAGUGAUGACAAUAAAUGUUUAUAAUAUGCAUUUAAUUGUUCCAGGAGGCAACACUUAAAAUAUGCUCUUUUUGUCCACGACUCAAUAUUCCACUUAGGGAUCAAGAUUGAAAAAGCAUGAAGUAGGUUCAUACAGUGUCAUGUACAGGAAGAUAAGUUAUACUCAGAAUCAGGAAACUUUAGUUCUUGAUCAAGGAUUAGCAAAUGUUUUCCUUGAAGAGUCAGAUAGUAAGCAGUUUAGGCAUGGCAAGACCUACCAUCUCUGUUGCAGCUCCUCAUCUCUGCUGUUCUAGCGUGAAGGCAGCUGCAGACAGCAGGCAAAUGAAUGAGGAAACCUCUGUUCCCUUAAAACUUUAUGCUCAAAAGCAAGUGGACAAUUAGAUUAAGCCUGCUGGUAGUAGUUUGCUACUACUCUUUUUUUAGACUUUACCUUGCCAUUUGUUAGUGUGUAACCCAAGGAUAAAUCAAACUCGGAGCUUCAUUUUUCUUCACAGUGAAGUGAGAAUAAUAGCAGCAACCUCCUCGACAUUCCCAGUAUGAGGAAACAAGAAAAUGCUUAUGAACAUUUUUGGAACUGUCUAUUGUGUGGUGUGUCAGAGAAAAAAAUGAGAGACAGACAAGAUCUCACAAGUAUCCUCCGAGUGGGUAUAAAAUGUCCGCUAGGGGGCGAUUCUUCUUGGACACUCUAUUGGCAAGACUGUAAGUUCAUUCCCCAAAAUGGUAUGAACUCAUUUUAUCAAAUUGGGAGUAACUAACUAAAAAAAGGAAUAUGAAUUAUUUUGAUGCUUCAAGAUUCACAUAAAUAAGAUCAGAAUCACCUUUCCAUUCCAAAACUGACAGAAUUGGAGAGGCUGAUAAUUUCUGCUA